UUUCAUUAUUUUGUGCUAUUUUAUUGGAUUAUAUAUACAAAAUCUGUAUUCUAUCAUAUGGAUUCAACACAUACAUAAUAUUUCAAGUAUUCUUAAUAAAAAUAGCUGAAAUUCAAAUUUAUAAAAUUUAAUAUAUGAUAUUGUGAAUAAAAUAUUUCUUAUACCUUUUAAAUAACAAAAAUAUCUAAAAAAUAAUAUAAAAGAAAAUUUUGUAUACCAUAAAUUUUAAAAAUAUUAAUUAUUUUAAAAAUAUUAAUUUGCCAAUACAAUUACAAACAAAUUUAAGGUUUUUUUGUUGCCAAAAUAUCAAAUCCCGCUCGAAGUGCGGGCUUCCUCUAGUUUUAUUAUAAACUUAGACUUAAAAUUUUAUAUAUUAUAAACAAAAUUUUACAUUUUACGUCAGAAACCUUUUUGUAUCACACUUAUCUUUGUGGUCAUUAAAUUUCAAAUUAAAAAAAAA
This 460-nucleotide long non-coding RNA is filed under the name Brassica napus (rape). Its description in RNAcentral is "long non-coding RNA (BNAP_LNC001479)". Lineage: Eukaryota; Viridiplantae; Streptophyta; Magnoliopsida; Brassicales; Brassicaceae. The record is from RNAcentral.